This 497-nucleotide ribosomal RNA is filed under the name uncultured bacterium. RNAcentral describes it as "partial 16S ribosomal RNA". It matches the Rfam family "Bacterial small subunit ribosomal RNA", at positions 28 to 507 of the family's 1533-position model. The record is from RNAcentral.
GAUGAACGCUGGCGGCGUGCUUAACACAUGCAAGUCGAACGGACGGACGAUAAUCUUGCUGCGCGGAUGUGAGGGGCGGGCGGGUGAGUAACACGAGUAUAACCUACCUAUAAGACUGGUAUAACUUCGGGAAACCGUAUCUAACACCGGAGAAGAUUUUGAACCGCAGGGGGCGAAAGUGAGAGACGGUGUUUCGGGCACUAAUAGAUGGUUCCGCGCUGGAUUAGCUAGUUGGUAAGGUAACGGCUUACCAAGGCUAGGAUGCAUAGCCGAAGUGAGAGGGUGAUCGGCCACACUGGAACUGAGACACGGUCCAGACUCCUACGGGAGGCAGCAGUAGGGAAUCUUCCGCAGUGGGCGAAAGCCUGACAGAGCAACGCCGAGUGAGUGAUGAAGGUCUUCGGAUCGUAAAAAUCUGUUAUUAGGGAAGAACCUCUGUGUCAUUAGACGUGGCGAGCUUGACGGUAACUGAUAAGAAAGCACCGGCUAACUACGUG